This 23-nucleotide ribosomal RNA is filed under the name Rhizopus arrhizus. RNAcentral describes it as "Rhizopus oryzae partial 28S large subunit ribosomal RNA". The record is from RNAcentral. Lineage: Eukaryota; Fungi; Mucoromycota; Mucoromycetes; Mucorales; Rhizopodaceae.
UAUGAUCUGAAGUCAGGUGGGAC